This 74-nucleotide transfer RNA is filed under the name Myxococcales bacterium. RNAcentral's name for it is "tRNA-Arg". It matches the Rfam family "tRNA". From Rfam's summary of the family: Transfer RNA (tRNA) molecules are approximately 80 nucleotides in length. Their secondary structure includes four short double-helical elements and three loops (D, anti-codon, and T loops). RNAcentral also lists the same sequence under 1 other name. The record is from RNAcentral. Lineage: Bacteria; Pseudomonadati; Myxococcota; Myxococcia; Myxococcales.
GGCCCCUUAGCUCAGAUGGAUAGAGCAGGGCGCUUCUAACGCCAAGGUCGCUGGUUCGAGUCCAGCAGGGGCUG